This 253-nucleotide ribosomal RNA is filed under the name uncultured bacterium. Its description in RNAcentral is "partial 16S ribosomal RNA". It matches the Rfam family "Bacterial small subunit ribosomal RNA", at positions 524 to 776 of the family's 1533-position model. The record is from RNAcentral.
UACGUAGGGAGCAAGCGUUGUCCGGAAUCAUUGGGCGUAAAGCGCGCGUAGGUGGCCUCAUAAGUCCGCUGUGAAAGUCAAAGGCUCAACCUUUGAAAGCCGGUGGAUACUGUGAGGCUAGAGUACGGAAGAGGCGAGUGGAAUUCCUGGUGUAGCGGUGGAAUGCGCAGAUAUCAGGAGGAACACCAAUAGCGAAGGCAGCUCGCUGGGACGUUACUGACACUGAGGCGCGAACGCGUGGGGAGCGAACAGG